This 844-nucleotide ribosomal RNA is filed under the name Lactobacillus delbrueckii. Its description in RNAcentral is "bacterial SSU rRNA". It matches the Rfam family "Bacterial small subunit ribosomal RNA", at positions 66 to 881 of the family's 1533-position model. The record is from RNAcentral. Lineage: Bacteria; Bacillati; Bacillota; Bacilli; Lactobacillales; Lactobacillaceae.
GCUGAUUCAAGAUCCCUUCGGGGUGAUUUGUUGGACGCUAGCGGCGGAUGGGUGAGUAACACGUGGGCAAUCUGCCCUAAAGACUGGGAUACCACUUGGAAACAGGUGCUAAUACCGGAUAACAACAUGAAUCGCAUGAUUCAAGUUUGAAAGGCGGCGCAAGCUGUCACUUUAGGAUGAGCCCGCGGCGCAUUAGCUAGUUGGUGGGGUAAAGGCCUACCAAGGCAAUGAUGCGUAGCCGAGUUGAGAGACUGAUCGGCCACAUUGGGACUGAGACACGGCCCAAACUCCUACGGGAGGCAGCAGUAGGGAAUCUUCCACAAUGGACGCAAGUCUGAUGGAGCAACGCCGCGUGAGUGAAGAAGGUCUUCGGAUCGUAAAGCUCUGUUGUUGGUGAAGAAGGAUAGAGGCAGUAACUGGUCUUUAUUUGACGGUAAUCAACCAGAAAGUCACGGCUAACUACGUGCCAGCAGCCGCGGUAAUACGUAGGUGGCAAGCGUUGUCCGGAUUUAUUGGGCGUAAAGCGAGCGCAGGCGGAAUGAUAAGUCUGAUGUGAAAGCCCACGGCUCAACCGUGGAACUGCAUCGGAAACUGUCAUUCUUGAGUGCAGAAGAGGAGAGUGGAACUCCAUGUGUAGCGGUGGAAUGCGUAGAUAUAUGGAAGAACACCAGUGGCGAAGGCGGCUCUCUGGUCUGCAACUGACGCUGAGGCUCGAAAAGCAUGGGUAGCGAACAGGAUUAGAUACCCUGGUAGUCCAUGCCGUAAACGAUGAGCGCUAGGUGUUGGGGGACUUUUCCGGUCCUCAGUGCCGCAGCAAACGCAUUAAGCGCUCCGCCUGGGGAGU